Molecule: ribosomal RNA, 479 nt
Filed under: uncultured bacterium
Lineage: Bacteria
Description: bacterial SSU rRNA
Rfam family: Bacterial small subunit ribosomal RNA
Source: RNAcentral
GGACGAACGCUGGCGGCGUGCUUAACACAUGCAAAGUUCGGAACGAGGGAUAGUUGAGAGCUUGCUCUUGGCUAUUCGAGUGCGGACGGGUGAGUAACGCGUGAACAAUCUGUCUCACACAGGGGAAUAACGCAUCGAAAGAUGUGCUAAUACCGCAUAGGACCACGGUUUCGCAGUGGGACUGAGGUGAAAGGAGGAAUCCGGUGUGAGGUGAGUUCGCGUCUGUAUUAGAUAGUUGGUGAGGUAACGGCCCACCAAGUCAACGAUCAGUAGCCGACCUGAGAGGGUGAUCGGCCACAUUGGGACUGAGACACGGCCCAGACUCCUACGGGAGGCAGCAGUGGGGAAUAUUGGGCAAUGGGCGCAAGCCUGACCCAGCAACGCCGCGUGAAGGAAGAAGGUUUUCGGAUCGUAAACUUCUGUCCUUGGUGAAGAGCGAAAGACGGUAGCCAAGGAGGAAGCCCGGCUAACUACGUGCC